UUGCUCCAUCAAACAGCCCUCGCAUCCCUCUACUUCAACCGUGCAGCUCCUAUACAAACAACCAUGGGCGAACAUGGUCGAUCAAACGUUCCCAUGGCAGUGGACACGCUUUUUUUGGGAUACUUCGGAGAAAUGUUCGUGCCUGUGUGUCUGCAGGCAUGUAGCAAGGGAUCGAUCGCCGGAAAUACAUUGCAUGUGGGGAGUGCUGAUAUGGCCUGAUCAUUUCCAUGUACAUACAUGUAUAUCUCAACGGAGGGUGAAUGACAGAUGUGCGGCCGCUAGGUUCAUCUUCUCUGCGCCGGAGAAAGGAUCGGACAAGGUAUGCCAAUAGGUUCUAAUGUUCUCUAUUAUUUUAAAACAAUUUAGGACGUAUUUGAUUGGAAAAAUUUAGGCUCUGAAAUGAGAAUGAGAAUGAGUAACUCAUACUCCAACCAUUUGGUUAGAGGAAGCCUUAUUUCUAUUUUCACUCUAGAAAGAGAUGGGAAUGCUUUUUCUACUGUUGGAUUUAUUUUAAAAGUAUUUUUUUUAAAAUGCCCUUCGGUUUAAUUGAUUUUUUUGUUUAAUUAAUUUUUUGAUUUCAAUCUCAAAUCUAGUCAUGAACCAAAUAUCGGAGAAUAUAAUUUCCAUUCCAAUUCCUAUUUCAAUUUAUUCCGAUUUUGUUUUCGGUUGUGAGCCAAAUUCGGCCUUAAUAUCAAUAGAAUAAGUAAGAAUUUUAAUAGCAAUGACUGGAAUAACGUUAUAGGGCGAGACCCACUAGUAGUUUGGAGACAGAUCAAAUAUUGUUCCUUGGCAAGCACAAGAUCUGCUUUCCUCCGGUGCAUUUUGUUUUGUUGCAGAGGAUUGCAUGCACUCAAAGCACAAAUUUCCCUUUCAAUUUCCGAUAUCUCCAAUGAACUGCUCUGAUGCAAAUUCUCUACAUGGCAG
Molecule: long non-coding RNA, 924 nt
Filed under: Phoenix dactylifera (date palm)
Lineage: Eukaryota; Viridiplantae; Streptophyta; Magnoliopsida; Arecales; Arecaceae
Description: long non-coding RNA (PDAC_LNC003806)
Source: RNAcentral